GAGUUUGAUCCUGGCUCAGGACGAACGCUGGCGGCGUGCUUAACACAUGCAAGUCAAGGACUGUAGCAAUACAGGACUGGCGCACGGGUGCGGAACACGUAGGUAAUCUACCCUUUAGGGGAGAACAACCCGUCGAAAGACGGGCUAAAACUCCGUAAUAUCACGAGGCGGCAUCGUUUUGUGAUCAAGCUUUCUAAAGGAUGAGCCUGCGUCUGAUUAGCUAGUUGGUGAGGUAACGGCUCACCAAGGCUACGAUCAGUAGCUGGUCUGAGAGGAUGAUCAGCCACAUUGGGACUGAGAUACGGCCCAGACUCCUACGGGAGGCAGCAGUGAGGAAUAUUGCUCAAUGGGGGAAACCCUGAAGCAGCAACGCCGCGUGAAGGAUGAAGGCGCUCUGCGUUGUAAACUUCUGUAGUUGGGGACAAAUGUAGGGUUACUACCCUAUUGAUGGUACCCAAAAAGUAAGGAUCGGCUAACUACGUGCCAGCAGCCGCGGUAAUACGUAGGAUCCGAGCGUUGUCCGGAUUUACUGGGUGUAAGGGGUGCGCAGGCGGACUGGUAAGUCAGUGGUGAAAUCUCGUCGCCUAACGACGAAACUGCCCUUGAUACUAUAGNCUUGAGUUCNGUAGAGAUCGGUGGAAUUCGAGUGUAGCAGUGAAAUGUGUAGAUUUUCGGAAGAACCCAGGUGCGAAGGCAGCAGAAUGGGGCCGGACCUACGCCUAUGCCCGAACCGNUGGGAAUUACAGGAAUAAAUCCCGUGAGUUACGCC
Molecule: ribosomal RNA, 769 nt
Filed under: uncultured bacterium
Lineage: Bacteria
Description: bacterial SSU rRNA
Rfam family: Bacterial small subunit ribosomal RNA
Source: RNAcentral